This 97-nucleotide small nucleolar RNA is filed under the name Leishmania donovani. RNAcentral describes it as "C/D box snoRNA LD36Cs2C-1". Lineage: Eukaryota; Euglenozoa; Kinetoplastea; Trypanosomatida; Trypanosomatidae. The record is from RNAcentral.
UGCGCGCGUCUAAGUGAUGGCUUGCACGACAAACUAUUGAAGAAAACCGAAUGACCGGCCUGUGGAAAGUAAACGCCAAUGCACUUUACUGAUGGAC